UUGCCCUAGUAACGGCGAGUGAAGCGGCAACAGCUCAAAUUUGAAAUCUGGCGCAAGCCCGAGUUGUAAUUUGUAGAGGAUGCUUCUGGGUAGCGACCGAUCUAAGUUCCUUGGAACAGGACGUCAUAGAGGGUGAGAAUCCCGUAUGUGACCGGCCCGCACCCUUUACGUAGCUCCUUCGACGAGUCGAGUUGUUUGGGAAUGCAGCUCUAAAUGGGAGGUAAAUUUCUUCUAAAGCUAAAUACCGGCCAGAGACCGAUAGCGCACAAGUAGAGUGAUCGAAAGAUGAAAAGUACUUUGGAAAGAGAGUUAAAAAGCACGUGAAAUUGUUGAAAGGGAAGCGCCUGCAAUCAGACUUCGCGGCAGUGUUCCGCCGGUCUUCUGACCGGUUCAUUCUCUGUCGCGAGGCCAUCAUCGUCUGGGCCCGCCGGAUAAGACCUUAGGAAUGUAGCUCACCUUCGGGGGAGUGUUAUAGCCUAUGGUGAUGCGGCGAGGCUCGGGCGAGGUCCGCGCUUCGGCAAGGAUGAUGGCGUAAUGGUUGUCGGCGGCCCGUCUUGAAACACGGACCAAGGAGUCUAACAUCUAUGCGAGUGUUCGGGUGUCAAACCCCUACGCGUAAUGAAAGUGAACGGAGGUGGGAACCGCAAGGUGCACCAUCGACCGAUCCUGAUGUCCUCGGAUGGAUUUGAGUAAGAGCAUAGCUGUUGGGACCCGAAAGAUGGUGAACUAUGCCUGAAUAGGGUGAAGCCAGAGGAAACUCUGGUGGAGGCUCGCAGCGGUUCUGACGUGCAAAUCGAUCGUCAAAUUUGGGUAUAGGGGC
This 820-nucleotide ribosomal RNA is filed under the name Septoria scabiosicola. RNAcentral's name for it is "LSU rRNA". It matches the Rfam family "Eukaryotic large subunit ribosomal RNA", at positions 75 to 924 of the family's 3401-position model. Lineage: Eukaryota; Fungi; Ascomycota; Dothideomycetes; Mycosphaerellales; Mycosphaerellaceae. The record is from RNAcentral.